RNAcentral lists this unclassified non-coding RNA (437 nucleotides) under Hevea brasiliensis (rubber tree). Lineage: Eukaryota; Viridiplantae; Streptophyta; Magnoliopsida; Malpighiales; Euphorbiaceae. The record is from RNAcentral.
AGAGAGAGAGAACAAGCAACCAGAAAUGCAGCCCAAGUGAAUUGAUGUCUGAAGAUGAGUAAAAACAAAUAACGGUGAAAAAAGAAAAGAAUAGAAAGAGGGUAGGAGUAUGGUGAGAAACGAAAGGUGGAAAACAAUUAGACAACUGAGAGAGGAUAUAGUAUAGAGACGGAGAGUUGUCUGGUUUACAAAAUCCCAAGCAUUAUUGGCGGUGGCAGUUUUGUCCGGCAGCGGGGACUGAGUUGUGGGGACUCCUCUCUCAUAUGCGUACACCAAGGAUAAAAGACUAAAAAGCUUUGGAAAUUGAUAUAUACAAUGCACAUGGUCUCCACCAGCACGAUUAUGACAACCUUUGGAGUGUUGCUACUUGCUACUGGCUGCACUUAAAAAAUCUUAUAUAAAUUUUAUGUUUAUGAUUCACUAUGAAUGAAGUGCAU